Molecule: microRNA, 22 nt
Filed under: Spodoptera frugiperda (fall armyworm)
Lineage: Eukaryota; Metazoa; Arthropoda; Insecta; Lepidoptera; Noctuidae
Description: sfr-miR-10463-3p
Source: miRBase by way of RNAcentral
UAUCGUCACACCCUUAAUCCCC